AGUCCAGAGGGAUUUGAAAUUCAAAACAGAAAAAGACAUCUAAGCGCAGGUGAGGAGGUCGAUGUGAAGAAACAAAGGAGCAGGUAAGGAGCUGAUGGGCCGAGGGGAAUGCUGGGAACCGGGCCGGGCUAACGAGGCUGAUUCGGAUCAGACUAAACGUCAGAGUCAUCACCUGGAACCAGUCAGCGUCUGGUGAGGAACCACUGCCAGCUAUGGACGGGGUUGACGUUCGGCGACCAGUGAGAGAAGCAGCUGUUCGUUUGAAAGAGGUUGGAACAGAAACUGCUAUAACAUCAGUUAUAUCUGAACUGGGGAGCAGAUUUCAUUGACUAAAGAGCAAAGAACUGCAUGGAAGGCUUUUCU
Molecule: long non-coding RNA, 363 nt
Organism: Acanthopagrus latus (yellowfin seabream)
Lineage: Eukaryota; Metazoa; Chordata; Actinopteri; Spariformes; Sparidae
Exons: 3
Source: RefSeq, a predicted model, not a curated record